GUAGUCAUAUGCUUGUCUCAAAGAUUAAGCCAUGCAUGUCUAAGUACAUACUUUUACAUAGUGAAACCGCGAAUGGCUCAUUAAAUCAGUUAUGGUUCCUUAGAUCGUACGAUCCUACUUGGAUAACUGUGGUAAUUCUAGAGCUAAUACAUGCAACGGAAGCUCCGACCUGACGGAAAGAGCGCGUUUAUUAGAUCAAGACCAGUCGGGGUCUCGCGGCCCCGUCUCAUUGGUGAUGCUGGAUAACUUUGUGCAGAUCGCACGACCUCGCGUCGGCGACGUAUCUUUCAAAUGUCUGCCCUAUCAACUGACGAUGGUACGCGAUAUGCCUACCAUGGUUGCAACGGGUAACGGGGAAUGA
RNAcentral lists this ribosomal RNA (361 nucleotides) under uncultured fungus. RNAcentral describes it as "SSU rRNA". It matches the Rfam family "Eukaryotic small subunit ribosomal RNA", at positions 20 to 372 of the family's 1831-position model. Lineage: Eukaryota; Fungi. The record is from RNAcentral.